Molecule: ribosomal RNA, 2755 nt
Filed under: bacterium
Lineage: Bacteria
Description: 23S ribosomal RNA
Rfam family: Bacterial large subunit ribosomal RNA
Source: RNAcentral
GGUCAAGUCAUCAAGGGCACACGGUGGAUGUCUUGGCGUCGAGAGGCGAUGAAGGACGUUGGAACCUGCGAUAUGCCCAGGGGAGCUGGUAACCGAGCUUUGAUCCUGGGAUUUCCGAAUGGGGAAACCCGGCCCGUAAGGGUCAUCCGUAUCUGAAUGCAUAGGGUACGGAAGCGAACGCGGUGAACUGAAACAUCUCAGUAACCGUAGGAAAGGAAAGCAACAGCGACUCCGUAAGUAGCGCCGAGCGAAAGCGGAUUAGCCGGAAUGCAUUGCGAACUGCCUGGAAAGGUGGACGAUACAAGGUGAUAGUCCUGUAGCAAUGUUGCCGGUGAGGCCUAGAGUAGGUCCGGGCUCGUGAAACCCGGUCUGAACAUGGGGGGACCACCCCCCAAGCCUAAGUACUCCUCGACGACCGAUAGUGAACCAGUAACGUGAGUGAACGAUGAAAAGCACCCCGACAAGGGGAGUGAAAAGUACCUGAAACCGUGUGCUUACAAGCGGUCGGAGCCCUUCGGGGUGACGGCGUGCCUUUUGCAUAAUGAGCCGACGAGUUACUCUCUGUGGCAAGGCUAAGCUGAAUCCCAGCGCAGCCGAAGGGAAACCGAGUCUUAAAAGGGCGUCGAGUCGCAGGGAGUAGACGCGAAACCCGUUGAUCUACCCAUGGGCAGGUUGAAGGGAGGGUAAAACCUCUUGGAGGACCGAAGCCUUGAACGUUGAAAAGUUCUGGCAUGACCUGUGGGGAGGAGUUAAAGUCUAAUCAUAACGGGAGAUAUCUCGUUCUCUCCGAAAUAGUUUUUGGACUAGCCUUACGUUAUAUCCUGCGGGGGUAGAGCGACUGGAUGGGGCUGGGGGGCCACAAGCCUACCCACCUCAACCAAACUCCGAAUACCGCAGUGACUUAUCGUGGGAGUAAGACUACGGGGGAUAAUCUCCGUGGUCAAAAGGGAAACAGCCCAGACCGCCGGUUAAGGCCCCUAAAUACACCUCAGUUGAAAAGGUAGUCAGAUUGCAGUGACAGCCAGGAUGUUGGCUUAGAAGCAGCCACCAUUUAAAAAGUGCGUAACAGCUUACUGGUCGAGGAAUCUGGCGCCGAUAAUGAUCGGGGAUAAGGUGUAUGCCGAAACCGCGGACGUCUUCGGACGUGGUAGGAGAGCGUAGCUAUCAGCGUUGAAGCUUGCCCGGAAGGGCUGGUGGAGCGGUAGCUAGUGAAUAUGUCGGCUUGAGUAACGAUAAACGGAGUGAGAAUCUCCGUCGCCGAAAACCUAAGGUUUCCUGGGGAAGGUAAUUCCGCCCAGGGUUAGGCGGUACCUAAGGCGAGGCCGAAAGGCGUAGUCGAUGGACAGCAGGUUAAUAUUCCUGCCCUUUCAUGUGAGGUUGAUCCGGCGUGACGGAUCAUGAAGUUCGACGGCACAGUGAAGCGUGCAGGCCUUCGGGCCGAUGUCGGGUGGAUUGGUUCCAAGAAAAGCCGUCCGGGGACGAUCAUGGAAGCCGUACUAAAACUGACACAGGUAGGUGUGGCGAAAAGCCUCAGGCGCUCGAGAUAAUGGUCGUGAAGGAACUAGGCAAAUUGACCCCGUACGUUCGCAAUAAGGGGGCCCUCCUCGCAAGAGAGGGCGCAGAGAAGAGGCUCUGGGGACUGUUUAUCAAAAACACAGCACUGUGCUAACUCGCAAGAGGACGUAUACAGUGUGACGCCUGCCCGGUGCCGGAAGGUUAAGGGAGUCGGUUAGCUUCGGCGAAGCUGGCGACCGAAGCCCCGGUAAACGGCGGCCGUAACUAUGACGGUCCUAAGGUAGCGAAAUUCCUUGUCGGGUAAGUUCCGACGCGCAUGAAUGGCGUAACCACUGGAGCACUGUCUCCACGACCAACUCGGUGAAAUAGUAGUGGCGGUGAAGAUGCCGCCUACCCGCAGCAAGACGGAAAGACCCCGUGGAGCUUUACUGUACGCUUGCACUGGUCACGGAUUUAUUCUGCGUAGGAUAGGUGGGAGGCUUUGAAACCGGGAUUCUGGUCCUGGUGGAGCCAUCCUUGAAAUACCACCCUGAAUACAUUUGUGGCCUAACCCUGAUUCCCAUGAAGCUGGGCAGGGGACAAUGCAUGCCGGGCAGUUUGACUGGGGCGGUCUCCUCCUAAAAAGUAACGGAGGAGCGCAAAGGUCAGCUCAGUGCGGUUGGAAACCGCAUGAUAGAGUGUAAGUGCAUAAGCUGGCUUUACUGCGAGACAUACAAGUCAAGCAGUCUCGAAAGAGGGCACUAGUGAUCCGGCAGUUCUGUGUGGAAGGGCUGUCGCUCAACGGAUAAAAGCUACCCCGGGGAUAACAGGCUGAUCGCUCCCGAGCGUCCAUAGCGGCGGAGCGGUUUGGCACCUCGAUGUCGGCUCAUCACAUCCUGGGGCUGAAGGCGGUCCCAAGGGUUCGGCUGUUCGCCGAUUAAAGUGGUACGCGAGCUGGGUUCAGACCGGCGUGAGCCAGGUCGGUCCCUAUCUGCUGUGGGCGUUGCAAUGUUGAGAGGAAACUUCUUUAGUACGAGAGGAUUGGGAAGGACGCACCCCUGGUGAGCCAGUUGGACCGCUCGGUCCACCGCUGGGUAGCUAAGUGCGGCAGGGAUAACCGCUGAAAGCAUCUAAGCGGGAAGCCCACCUCGAGAUGAGCAUUGCUUUGAGACCCCCGAAAGACUAUCGGGUUGAUAGGUCGCACGUGUAAGUGCCGAAAUGCAUUCAGCGAAGCGAUACUAACGGUCGAAGAUUUGACCGU